UACGGAGGGAGCUAGCGUUGUUCGGAGUUACUGGGCGUAAAGCGCGCGUAGGCGGCUUUGUAAGUUAGAGGUGAAAGCCCGGGGCUCAACCCCGGAAUUGCCUUUAAGACUGCAUCGCUUGAAUCCGGGAGAGGUGAGUGGAAUUCCCAGUGUAGAGGUGAAAUUCGUAGAUAUUGGGAAGAACACCGGUGGCGAAGGCGGCUCACUGGCCCGUAACUGACGCUCAUGCACGACAGCGUGGGAAUCAAACAGG
This 253-nucleotide ribosomal RNA is filed under the name uncultured bacterium. Its description in RNAcentral is "partial 16S ribosomal RNA". It matches the Rfam family "Bacterial small subunit ribosomal RNA", at positions 524 to 776 of the family's 1533-position model. The record is from RNAcentral.